Non-coding RNA from Neolamprologus brichardi, 529 nucleotides. Lineage: Eukaryota; Metazoa; Chordata; Actinopteri; Cichliformes; Cichlidae. The record is from RefSeq and is a predicted model, not a curated record.
CGCCGAAAGAAACGGGAUCCAGAGCAGAAACCUACCGACCAGGACCUCCGUGUGAAUUACAAACCGAAUUAAUGAGGCAGGAAUCUGAAAGAAAAUCCAGCUUAAACCGAGAUUUCAGGCUGAGCCCUUCGUGGCUGACGAUGCGCCGUGGUGCUCCUGUGUCCUGAAGACGACAGCAGAUCCGAGCCGCUCGGUCAUCAUCGAUCUGCAACGGUUGUUAAGUCAGACGGGGUUUUAAAAAAAAAUGAAGCGGGAAAGGAAGCUGUGGGACAACCUUCAAAAGUAAAAGCCCUCGGAAGAUAGAUUAUUCUCAUGGCAGACUUCUCCCGGGUCACCUGCUCUCUCUGGGAAAGCAGCUCCAGAAACCCAUAGCAACGAGUUUCGAAGGACAUCUCCUGCGGAGAUCUGCUUUCUGGAAUUUGUAAAAGUAAAAAAAACAUUAUAGAAUUAUAAAAUGACAUGAUGAGCACGAGUCAUGAAGAAAUGCGGAGAUAUGGAUCCUUCUCUUCCUGCAGCGUCUGUCACUGAA